RNAcentral lists this ribosomal RNA (253 nucleotides) under uncultured bacterium. RNAcentral describes it as "partial 16S ribosomal RNA". It matches the Rfam family "Bacterial small subunit ribosomal RNA", at positions 524 to 776 of the family's 1533-position model. The record is from RNAcentral.
UACGAAGGGGGCUAGCGGUGUUCGGAAUUACUGGGCGUAAAGGGCGCGUAGGCGGCCUUGUCAGUCAGAAGUGAAAGCCCCGGGCUCAACCUGGGAAUUGCUUUUGAUACUGCAAGGCUAGAGUUUCGGAGAGGAUGGUGGAAUUCCCAGUGUAGAGGUGAAAUUCGUAGAUAUUGGGAAGAACACCGGUGGCGUAGGCGGCCAUCUGGACGAACACUGACGCUGAGGCGCGAAAACGUGGGGAGCAAACAGG